UGGCUCCCGCAUCGAUGAAGAACGCAGCGAAAUGCGAUACGUAAUGUGAAUUGCAGAAUUCAGUGAAUCAUCGAAUCUUUGAACGCACCUUGCACUCUUUGGUAUUCCGAAGAGUAUGCCUGUUUGAGUGUCGUGAAACCCUCAACCCCCCUGUUUUGUAAUGAAACAGGCGUGGGCUUGGAUUCUGGCUGCCUGCAGGCCCUGUCACAGGGUCAGCUCAGCUGAAAUAUACGAGCAGCUUGUAUUUCGAUACCAUAGAAAGCUUCAACUCGGCGUAAUAAAACUUAUCUCGUCGAAGUGAAUGCAGUCUUAUCGUUAGACAGCGCUUAUAAUUCGUUUCUCGUAAACAUCUGAACUUUAGACCUCAAAUCAGGCAGGAUUACCCGCUGA
This 390-nucleotide unclassified non-coding RNA is filed under the name uncultured fungus. Its description in RNAcentral is "partial contains 5.8S ribosomal RNA and internal transcribed spacer 2". The stretch from base 1 to 133 matches the Rfam family "5.8S ribosomal RNA", at positions 22 to 154 of the family's 154-position model. The record is from RNAcentral. Lineage: Eukaryota; Fungi.